CGCAUCUGUGCAUGCAGCAUAUCAAUAAGCGGAGGAAAAGAAACUAACAAGGAUUCCCUUAGUAACGGCGAGUGAAGCGGGAAGAGCUCAAAUUUGAAAUCUUCAAGGUUUUACCUUGACGAAUUGUAGUUUAAAGAAGUGUUUUCUGUUGAAGUUUUGGUAAAAGUUCUUUGGAAUAGGACAUCAUAGAGGGUGAGAAUCCCGUAUUUGACCAUUAUUUUCAGCUGUGUGAUACACUUUCAAAGAGUCGGAUUGUUUGGGAAUGCAGUCCAAAAUGGGUGGUAAAUUUCAUCUAAAGCUAAAUAUUGGCGAGAGACCGAUAGCGAACAAGUACCGUGAGGGAAAGAUGAAAAGAACUUUGAAAAGAGAGUUAAACAGUACGUGAAAUUGUCAAAAGGGAAGCGUUUGACACCAGUGUUGUUUUCUCGAAAAUCAAUUAAAAAGAGUUAGAUUUUGUUGUGUAUUGACCUUAACAGCUUGCAUUUCAAUCUUCUUGCUUUUUUUAAUGCACUUUUCGUUUAACAAGUCAACAUCAGUUUCUUUUGUUGUAAAAAGGUCAUUGGAAGGUGGCUUUCUUUUCGGAGAAAGUGUUUAUAGCCUUUGACUCCUGCAAUCGGAGAGACUGAGGUCUGCAGCGUAGAUCCUUCGGGGUUAGAUACAUUUGUGCUAAGUUAUAGCUUUUUAUAGACAACUUGUUGACUAUGAUUAGUCUUGUAGCUUACUCGCUUAUGCUAUUUUACCUACGCUUAGGAUGUUGAUGUGAUACUGCGAGC
This 773-nucleotide ribosomal RNA is filed under the name uncultured Neocallimastigales. RNAcentral's name for it is "partial large subunit ribosomal RNA". It matches the Rfam family "Eukaryotic large subunit ribosomal RNA", at positions 26 to 645 of the family's 3401-position model. The record is from RNAcentral. Lineage: Eukaryota; Fungi; Neocallimastigomycota; Neocallimastigomycetes; Neocallimastigales.